UACGGAGGGUGCAAACGUUGUUCGGUGUCAUUGGGCUUAAAGGGUGCGUAGGCGGCCAGACAAGUCAGGUGUGAAAUCCCCCCGGCUUAACCGGGGAAUUGCGCUUGAUACUGUCCGGCUUGAGGGCCAAAGGGGAGAGCGGAACUCCAGGUGUAGCGGUAAAAUGCGUAGAUAUCUGGGGGAACGCCGAAGGCGAAGGCAGCUCUCUGGGUGGUUCCUGACGCUGAGUGCACGAAAGCUGGGGGAGCAAACAGGAUUAGAUACCCCUGUA
RNAcentral lists this ribosomal RNA (271 nucleotides) under uncultured prokaryote. RNAcentral describes it as "partial 16S ribosomal RNA". It matches the Rfam family "Bacterial small subunit ribosomal RNA", at positions 524 to 792 of the family's 1533-position model. The record is from RNAcentral.